GACGAACGCUGGCGGCGUGCCUAAUACAUGCAAGUUGAGCGCUGAAGGUUGGUACUUGUACCAACUGGAUGAGCAGCGAACGGGUGAGUAACGCGUGGGGAAUCUGCCUUUGAGCGGGGGACAACAUUUGGAAACGAAUGCUAAUACCGCAUAAAAACUUUAAACACAAGUUUUAAGUUUGAAAGAUGCAAUUGCAUCACUCAAAGAUGAUCCCGCGUUGUAUUAGCUAGUUGGUGAGGUAAAGGCUCACCAAGGCGAUGAUACAUAGCCGACCUGAGAGGGGGAUCGGCCAAAUUGGGACGGAGACACGGCCCAAACUCCUACGGGAGGCAGCAGUAGGGAAUCUUCGGCAAUGGACGAAAGUCUGACCGAGCAACGCCGCGUGAGUGAAGAAGGUUUUCGGAUCGUAAAACUCUGUUGGUAGAGAAGAACGUUGGUGAGAGUGGAAAGCUCAUCAAGUGACGGUAACUACCCAGAAAGGGACGGCUAACUACGUG
This 497-nucleotide ribosomal RNA is filed under the name uncultured bacterium. RNAcentral's name for it is "partial 16S ribosomal RNA". It matches the Rfam family "Bacterial small subunit ribosomal RNA", at positions 28 to 507 of the family's 1533-position model. The record is from RNAcentral.